Molecule: ribosomal RNA, 469 nt
Filed under: uncultured bacterium
Lineage: Bacteria
Description: partial 16S ribosomal RNA
Rfam family: Bacterial small subunit ribosomal RNA
Source: RNAcentral
GACGAACGCUGGCGGCGUGCUUAACACAUGCAAGUCGAACGGAAAGGCCCUGCUUGCAGGGUGCUCGAGUGGCGAACGGGUGGGUAACACGUGGGUGAUCUGCCCCUUACUUUGGGAUAAGCCUGGGAAACUGGGUCUAAUACUGGAUAGGACCAUGCUGUAGGUGGUGUGGUGGAAAGAUUAGUUUCGGUAAGGGAUGAGCUCGCGGCCUAUCAGCUUGUUGGUGGGGUAAUGGCCUACCAAGGCGUCGACGGGUAGCCGGCCUGAGAGGGUGGACGGCCACAUUGGGACUGAGAUACGGCCCAGACUCCUACGGGAGGCAGCAGUGGGGAAGAUUGCACAAUGGGCGCAAGCCUGAUGCAGCGACGCCGCGUGGGGGAUGACGGCCUUCGGGUUGUAAACUCCUUUCAGCCAUGACGAAGCCCUUGUGGUGACGGUAGUGGUAGAAGAAGCACCGGCUAACUACGUG